CCUACGGGGGGCAGCAGUGGGGAAUAUUGCACAAUGGGGGAAACCCUGAUGCAGCGACGCCGCGUGAGUGAAGAAGGAUUUCGGUAUGUAAAGCCCUAUCAGCAGGGAAGCAGAAAGACGGUACCUUACUAAGAAGCGCCGGCUAACUACGUGCCAGCAGCCACGGUAAUACGUAGGGGGCAAGCGUUAUCCGGAUUUACUGGGGGUAAAGGGAGCGUAGACGGCUGUGCAAGUCUGAAGUGAAAGCCCAGGGCGCAACCCUGGGACUGCUUUGGAAACUGUGGAGCUAGAGUGCUAGAGAGGUAAGUGGAAUUCGUGGUGUAGCGGUGAAAUGCGUAGAUAUUAGGAGGAACACCAGUGGCGAAGGCGGCUUACUGGACAGUCACUGACGUUGAGGCUCGAAAGCGUGGGGAGCGAACAGGAUUAGAUACCCCGGUAGUC
This 441-nucleotide ribosomal RNA is filed under the name uncultured bacterium. Its description in RNAcentral is "partial 16S ribosomal RNA". It matches the Rfam family "Bacterial small subunit ribosomal RNA", at positions 338 to 795 of the family's 1533-position model. The record is from RNAcentral.